Molecule: long non-coding RNA, 210 nt
Filed under: Helianthus annuus (common sunflower)
Lineage: Eukaryota; Viridiplantae; Streptophyta; Magnoliopsida; Asterales; Asteraceae
Description: sRNA HanXRQr2_Chr12g0528661
Source: RNAcentral
UGUCUCACUAUGUCUUCUUAUGAACUUUCAACUCCAUUGCCAUGUGCACUCAAGGACCACAAUAUGCACCACCUUAGCCUCUCCUUAUACCAUAGGGCCUUCAAGAUCUUGUUUCAGGUGCUAGGCUAAUCCCGGUAGUACAAUCUGCUUAGGUUGUUGUAUCUUGGGAGACAGAUGAGUUUACCUGGGUAGCCCGAAAUUUGUUUUAAG